Molecule: ribosomal RNA, 433 nt
Filed under: uncultured bacterium
Lineage: Bacteria
Description: partial 16S ribosomal RNA
Rfam family: Bacterial small subunit ribosomal RNA
Source: RNAcentral
AGCGAACGCUGGCGGCAGGCCUAACACAUGCAAGUCGAACGGAUCCUUCGGGAUUAGUGGCGGACGGGUGAGUAACACGUGGGAACGUGCCCUUUGGUUCGGAACAACUCAGGGAAACUUGAGCUAAUACCGGAUGUGCCCUUCGGGGGAAAGAUUUAUCGCCAUUGGAGCGGCCCGCGUCUGAUUAGCUAGUUGGUGAGGUAACGGCCCACCAAGGCGACGAUCAGUAGCUGGUCUGAGAGGAUGAUCAGCCACACUGGGACUGAGACACGGCCCAGACUCCUACGGGAAGCAGCAGUGGGGAAUCUUGCGCAAUGGGCGAAAGCCUGACGCAGCCAUGCCGCGUGAAUGAUGAAGGUCUUAGGAUUGUAAAAUUCCUUCAGCGGGGACGAUAAUGACGGUACCCGCAGAAGAAGCUCCGGCUAACUUCGUG